RNAcentral lists this unclassified non-coding RNA (254 nucleotides) under Reticulascus clavatus. Its description in RNAcentral is "partial contains 5.8S ribosomal RNA, internal transcribed spacer 2, and large subunit ribosomal RNA". The record is from RNAcentral. Lineage: Eukaryota; Fungi; Ascomycota; Sordariomycetes; Glomerellales; Reticulascaceae.
CGCACAUUGCGCCCACUAGUAUUCUGGCGGGCAUGCCUGUUCGAGCGUCAUUUCAAACUUCAAGCAUUGCUUGGUGUUGGAGCUAGCGAAUUUCGCGGCUCUCAAAACUAUUGGCAGAUCUAUGAUGAUCUAGACUUAGUAAUUUUUCUAGUCUUUGAUUACAUUGUAUGGUUUUGCCUCAAACCUUCCAGUUCUUCUGGAAGAUCUCAAAUAAGUUUGACCUCGGAUCAGGUAGGAAUACCCGCUGAACUUAA